Long non-coding RNA from Fukomys damarensis (Damara mole-rat), 355 nucleotides. RefSeq lists it as uncharacterized. The record is from RefSeq and is a predicted model, not a curated record. The transcript is spliced from 3 exons. Lineage: Eukaryota; Metazoa; Chordata; Mammalia; Rodentia; Bathyergidae.
AGGUCAGCUAACCCUACUGCCCUGCAGGCAGGCAGGCAUGGCUGUGAGGGGCGCGAGUCACUCCUUGGGAAGGGCUUUCCUGAAGGCCCCGGCAGACCGAGGGGCACCUGCUGAGCCACCCACGCCGGCCUCAAGGUCCAACAGUGACAGGACUAGGUUGCCCUGAGAUUCAGAGAGUGCUGGGUUCUUUUUGGGCAGUUCCACGCCCAUGGACUCCAGGUUUCCCGUGUGGCUUUUUGAAAUGCACCGAAGAUGGGCUGGAGCCAUUUGUGGGAUCUCAGUGGCUGGCAGGAGGCCGAGCACUUCCUGAGUUGGAAGACUUAGUAUGGAGGCAGCGCAAGGACAAGAAAAACAA